Molecule: long non-coding RNA, 1382 nt
Filed under: Monodelphis domestica (gray short-tailed opossum)
Lineage: Eukaryota; Metazoa; Chordata; Mammalia; Didelphimorphia; Didelphidae
Description: lncRNA (ENSMODG00000047205.1)
Source: RNAcentral
AUGGAUUAUGCUUGGGUGCCACACUUUAUCCAGAAAUAAUUAAUACUCACAUGAUAACAGACGAAAGUUUACAAAGUAAAAGCAUGCAAGCCUACAAAUUAGACUUCCUCCCUAUCCUGGAGAAUGCUCAUUAUCCAUGGGGAAUCCCUUUGUCUUUCUGAGUUGUGCUGGGAAGAAAUACAUUUUUUUCCAUAAAUAUUUCUGCUGGAUUUAACCUUACCCUAAAUGAAUAUUUCAUGAAGGAAAAAAUAAACGAAAUAUUUGAAGGAGGAGGUAGGGUAGGGAAAGGGAAUGCUAUUUAGAAAAAGAUAUUCUCUGUUACUUCUUACUCUUCAAACAGAAAAAUAGUAGUCUUGGACUGAUGCUUCUUUUUUUUUUUUUUAAUUUUAAAAUAGAGUAACAAUGAUAAUGUGCUUAAGGAGGCAAAUGCAAAAGGAGAAAUUAUUCAAGGGAUUAGUAUCAGCCUGGGGCAGGAAAAGGAGGGGGAAGGAAAUGGCAUAUGCAGUUUAGCAAAUUCAGCCAACAUCCAUUCAUUGAAUUUUUACUGUGUUUAGAGCACUGUGCAAGGCAUUAAUAACAGCCAGCAUUUAUAUAGAGCUUUAAGGUUUGCAAAGAACUUUAUGAAUAAGAUCUCUUUUGAUCUUCAUAUUAAUCCUGUGAGUGCAUCUGAGAGUCACAAACCAUCACAGAAAUUCAAUCGUGAGAGCAAAACUGUGACUGUAUCUCUGCAAGUGCGAAGAUUGGACUGCAGAAUGUUGAAAAUGAUAAGAGCCCUGGCCUUGGGAUCAGAAGACCUGGGUUUGAGCUCUACGCCUUCCAUUUUUGGUGCAAAGCUCUGCCACUAACGUUCUAUAUGACCUUCUGCAAAUGAAUUCACCUCUCUUAGCCCUGGUUACCUCUUCUGUAAAACAAAGACAAGAUCAUCUCUGAGACCCUUCCAUUUCCAGUAUUCUAUUCUUAAAGGUCCCAUUCACUCUCUUUUUCUAUUUUCUGUUCUAUGUUCUGGGGUCCCUUUUAUCUCUAGAAUUCUAUAUUUUAAGGACUGAUAGAAAUAUCACCAUUCCAUGUUCUCUAUUUAAAAAUUCCAUGAUUCCAUGACGUACUAGCUAUAUAAUUUUGGGCUUAGGUUUGUGUAUCUGCAAAAUGAGAUUAAUUCGGAGGGUUGUUAUAAAGAAAAGAUGAUAAAACUAUGGGAGAGUACUUUGAAACCAUUAAAUAUUUUUUAUUAUUGUUCAGUCACAUCUGGCUUUUUGGGAUUUCUUAAAUAUUAUAUGUAUGUUAAUAUCAUUAAGAAAAAAAUUUUGACAAUGAUCCCCAAAAUGCUCUGACCCGGACAAAAUACAAAAGCUAGGGAAACGAAUAAAGAAAAUGGGGAAAAAACA